AUUGAACGCUGGCGGCAUGCUUUACACAUGCAAGUCGAACGGCAGCACGGGAGCAAUCCUGGUGGCGAGUGGCGAACGGGUGGGUAAUGUAUGGGAACGUGCCCAGUCGUGGGGGAUCACGUAGCGAAAGCUACGCUAAUACCGCAUACGAUCUACGGAUGAAAGCGGGGGACCGUAAGGCCUCGCGCGAUUGGAGCGGCCGAUAUCAGAUUAGGUAGUUGGUGGGGUAAAGGCCUACCAAGCCGACGAUCUGUAGCUGGUCUGAGAGGACGACCAGCCACACUGGGACUGAGACACGGCCCAGACUCCUACGGGAGGCAGCAGUGGGGAAUUUUGGACAAUGGGCGCAAGCCUGAUCCAGCAAUGCCGCGUGCAGGAUGAAGGCCUUCGGGUUGUAAACUGCUUUUGUACGGAGCGAAAAGGCUCUCUCUAAUACAGGGGGCUCAUGACGGUACCGUAAGAAUAAGCACCGGCUAACUACGUGCCAGCAGCCGCAGUAA
RNAcentral lists this ribosomal RNA (500 nucleotides) under uncultured bacterium. RNAcentral describes it as "partial 16S ribosomal RNA". It matches the Rfam family "Bacterial small subunit ribosomal RNA", at positions 30 to 523 of the family's 1533-position model. The record is from RNAcentral.